Molecule: ribosomal RNA, 1368 nt
Filed under: metagenome
Description: SSU rRNA
Rfam family: Eukaryotic small subunit ribosomal RNA
Source: RNAcentral
AUUCCGACACGGAGAGGUAGUGACAACAAAUACCAAUACGCGGCCCACAAGGGUCGCGUAAUUGGAAUGAGCACAAUUUAAACCCCUUAGCGAGGAGCCAUUGGAGGGCAAGUCUGGUGCCAGCAGCCGCGGUAAUUCCAGCUCCAAUAGCGUAUACUAAAGUUGUUGCGGUUAAAAAGCUCGUAGUUGAAUUUCGGGACCUCCGGUGAGCGGUCUGCGGGUUCCCGUAUGCACUGCCGCCGAGGUCCUUUCCUUCUGGAUGCUCGCCGCUGGUCUUGGCUGAUUGGCGGUCGAGGGUCGCUUGCGGCCCGGAGUUCCAGAUCGGUUCCUUUGAACAAAUUAGAGUGCCCAAGGCAGGCAAUUUUGCCACUGUCUAAAUUAGCAUGGGAUAACGCCAUAGGACUCCGGACCUAUUUCGUUGGUUUCUAGGACCGGAGUAAUGAUUAAUAGGGAUAGUUGGGGUGAUUAAUAUUUCAUUGUCAGAGGUGAAAUUCUUGGAUUCUUGAAAGAUUAACUUCUGCGAAAGCAUUUCACAAGGAUGUUUUCAUUAAUCAAGAACGAAAGUUGGGGGAUCGAAGACGAUCAGAUACCGUCGUAGUCCUAACCAUAAACUAUGCCGACCAGGGAUCGGAUGACGUUGUUCAUAUGACUCCUCCGGCACCUUGUGAGAAAUCACAAGUGUUUGGGCUUCGGGGGGAGUAUGGUCGCAAGGCUGAAACUUAAAGGAAUUGACGGAAGGGCACCACCAGGAGUGGAGCCUGCGGCUUAAUUUGACCCAACACGGGGAAACUUACCAGGUCCAGACAGCAGAAGGAUUGACAGAUUGAGAGCUCUUUCUUGAUUUGCUGGGUGGUGGUGCAUGGCCGUUCUUAGUUGGUGGAGUGAUUUGUCUGGUUAAUUCCGUUAACGAACGAGACCUUAACCUGCUAACUAGUCACGCGGGCCACGCUCCGCCGCGGGGUUCGCUCAUGCGGUGGACGGCUCAGCGGCCGACUUCUUAGAGGGACUAUUCGUGUUCAGCGAAUGGAAGUUUGAGGCAAUAACAGGUCAGUGAUGCCCUUCGAUGUUCUGGGCUGCACGCGCGCUACACUGAUGGACUCAACGAGUUUUUCACCUUGGUCGGAAGGCCUGGGUAAUCUUAUCAAAGUCCAUCGUGCUGGGGAUAGAUCAUUGCAAUUAUUGAUCUUCAACGAGGAAUUCCUAGUAAGCGCGAGUCAUCAGCUCGCGUUGAUUACGUCCCUGCCCUUUGUACACACCGCCCGUCGCUCCUACCGAUUGGAUGGUCAGGUGAAGACGCGGGAUGGGAUGCGCAUACCGUCGGGCGACUGGCGGCGGCGCGUUCCAGAACACGCCUAAACCUUACCAUCU